Long non-coding RNA from Vespa mandarinia (Asian giant hornet), 2388 nucleotides. The record is from RefSeq and is a predicted model, not a curated record. Lineage: Eukaryota; Metazoa; Arthropoda; Insecta; Hymenoptera; Vespidae.
GCUCGUCCGAAGUCACGUGCGCUUGCCAUUUUGCUCCCUGUCGUAGCAACAACUCGCGUUAAUAAAAUACCCGCAAGAAUUUAAGAUUACAAAGUGGCGUUGGACUGGGUUGGGCGGGUUUGGGUGUGCGAGCUCGUAUCCGUUAACAAGCACAGAAUUAUUAAGUACCGGCUGUGUUUAAAAAGGGGAGUUAUCAUCGAGUAAGCCGCUCACGUGGAGCAAUAACGAUCGAAAUUAGAGUCGUUUAAAAUAGGAAACAAUCUGUUCUGACAUGCAUAUAUCUCACAAGAAAAUAUAUGCACGUUCAUUAGAAAAUAAAGGAUUCUUUAGAGGUAAAUAAUACAUUGCAAAAGAGUAGGAAUCUGUGUUAAUGUUAUUACGACGAUCUAAUAGAAAGGAAAAUUCGAUGGAAGCCUUUUGAAACGUUUAAAUAAUGCAGCUCGAAUAACAAUGAAUUUCAUGAAACAGGAGAAAAUAGCGAGAUAUUUGCUUAACUAUUUCACCGAAAUAAGAUAGGACGUAAUUGAAAAAAGGAAAAAGAAGAGAAAGAAGAAGAAGAAGAAGAAAAAGAGAAGAAAGAGAGAAAAAAAAAAAGAAAUUACAUACUAAAAGAGAGUUUCCAAACAUUGAGAAGUAAACAGUAGUACAGAGUCCGUCGCGUAUUUACCGGUUACCGGCCACUUUACUGCCAUACUUUCGUAUUUCUCGUUUGUACGGCCAUUACGCGAACGCGGGAAACUUUAAAUCCCUUUCAUAAAAGUUACAAGUCAUAUGGGAGAAAAAGUUCUGGCUGGCCGUAACAAGUACGAUGACUGUUUAUUCUCGAAUUAGCUUGCAAACAAGAAACGUAGAUAGAACGAAUCGAGUUAACACGCUACGAGGAAAAUAUUUUCAACUACGCGUGCGAUGGAACGAUGAAUUUCACUGGUGUACGACGAACGAGAAACCCACCCAUUCGGUAUCCGUCCUGUGGUGGAAUUAUUUAUAUUUACACGAUUUUACAUCCGAGCCGGAAGCAUGCUCGGCAUGGAUCGAGCACGCGGAUACGCGAACAGUGAAAUCGACAGAAUUUCAGGACGCUGUGGUCCUCUCGCGUGCGCGAGCUUCCACAUGCAUACUACGUUAGCUUAUGCAUCAAUGGAUACGAAUUUUACAUUCUUACUUUCCUUUGGGAUCAACUGUGGAUACGAUAAAAUCCUCAGGGGCAAUCUGAUCUCUCUGACGUAGAAAGUUAACAGCAACAAGAAUUACUAAAGUUACGCAAAAAGGUGACAUCUCGUUAAAAUUCAAAUUUUCGAGAAUGAAUAUCGUUAUAUCUCGAUGAUUUCAUUAAAUUAGAUAACGACUAGUAAAAAUUUAUACGCAUUUUGAUAUGGACGAUUCGAUUUAAAAAUCAUCCAAUAAUGCAGAGGAAUCGUGGAAAUAUUAAUCACGUAGAGAGAUCUGUUCUAUCGUUGAAAUGGCAACCGAAACGUGGUAAAUGUCUCCUGAACUGAAAACCGAUGCUUUCGUUCCAAUUAGCCAGAAUAAUGACUAAUGUCGAUGCGUAAAAGACAACACAGUUUUAUGUAGAUUGAACAUACAAACAUAUAUAUAUAUAUAUAUAUAUACAUAUGUACGUUACUUAUGUACACACUAUCUCUCUACCCCGUACAUUUUCUACUUCGUUUUAUUCGAUGUACGAUUAAAAGAACAAAGUUAUAUCAAAAGAGCAUUUGAGAGGUUUGUACUGAAAGAAAUGAAAUGAAAGAAAAAAGAAAAAACCAGGGGUAAACAAUUAGGCAAGAUAAAAAACAUAUCGAAUAUUUGUGUUUUGAUAGAGUUUCGUACAUCAAUGUCACAGAAAGUAAUACGUUACUGAUUACAAAGUUAAAGGAGAUCAUGCGAGGCACACAACUUUUCAACGGACACGUCGCUCACAUUAAAUUUUCCUCGAACAUGAACGAACCACGUUACAUGCUCGCAAAGUAUAUACAUUUUCAAUGAUGGACAAGUUAUAACGAGUUAUAACUACUACUCGCGAACAGUUCCCAAAGCACUAUUACAUUGAAACGUUGAAUAGCUUUAGCUUUGGGGGCAAGGUUAAAUGAGUAGGAUAUUUAUUCCCACCUUUCAACAAAUUGCCAAGCCUGAAUAGGCAUCUAAAGUCAUUAACAGCAAUUGAAUAAAUUCAAUCGUUAAUUACAAUUUCUAACUGAGUAAUUCAAUCAGAUCGAUUAAUAAUUAUGAUUAAUUGUUGUCCUCGUUGAAUCUUUCAAAUCUUUUUAAAAUCACGGAAGGAUCAUCAUGAGAGACAAUUGAUCAAAGCAAUGUUUCUAAGGAACAUUAAUCUAUAAAUUAAUUCGAAUGAUAAAAAAUAGGAAUAUAAUAGACUUCUUUUUUUUUUUU